This 351-nucleotide transfer-messenger RNA is filed under the name Dehalococcoidia. Its description in RNAcentral is "AG-426-M11 sp003213095 Standard tmRNA". It matches the Rfam family "transfer-messenger RNA". Rfam says of the family: Bacterial tmRNA, also known as 10Sa RNA or SsrA, is named for its dual tRNA and mRNA-like properties. The record is from RNAcentral. RNAcentral also lists the same sequence under 1 other name. Lineage: Bacteria; Bacillati; Chloroflexota.
GGGGACGCGCGGAUUCGACAGAGGAUGUCACCGCAGGAUUGCAGGUCGGGGAUGUCAUCUACCUCGUUAAAAAGUGACAAAAAAAGUAACUGGCAACAAAGAGCUAGCACUAGCCGCUUAAUGCGGCUACGUCCUUCACUCCCGAUCCCCGAAGGGUGUGAAAGGGCGACAACAGACGGGGUGCAGCCAGUUUGAAGCCGAUAUUUCUGGCUAAAGAUUAUCGGAUAGUCUGCAUCAAGCGUUUGCUGAUCGAUGCUUGAGCAGUCGAAAUUAACGAUCAGAUAAGCCUGUAGUAUAUCCUUGCUGGGGUAUCUUUUGGACGGGGAGUUCGACCCUCCCCCGUCUCCACCA